This 253-nucleotide ribosomal RNA is filed under the name uncultured organism. Its description in RNAcentral is "partial 16S ribosomal RNA". It matches the Rfam family "Bacterial small subunit ribosomal RNA", at positions 524 to 776 of the family's 1533-position model. The record is from RNAcentral.
UACAGAGGGUGCAAGCGUUAAUCGGAUUUACUGGGCGUAAAGGGCGCGUAGGUGGUUGCGUAAGUGAGAUGUGAAAUCCCCGGGCUCAACCUGGGAACUGCAUCUUAUACUGCGUAGCUUGAGUGCAAUAGAGGGUAGUGGAAUUUCCGGUGUAGCGGUGAAAUGCGUAGAUAUCGGAAGGAACACCAGUGGCGAAGGCGGCUACCUGGAUUGACACUGACACUGAGGCGCGAAAGCGUGGGGAGCAAACAGG